This is a long non-coding RNA of Brienomyrus brachyistius, 1160 nucleotides long. RefSeq lists it as uncharacterized. The record is from RefSeq and is a predicted model, not a curated record. The transcript has 3 exons. Lineage: Eukaryota; Metazoa; Chordata; Actinopteri; Osteoglossiformes; Mormyridae.
GACAGCAAACGACAUUGUCUUCUGAGUGCCUCUGAGGCAAGGUCUCACACAGACAGCACAUGUCACACAACAAUGUGAGGCCCCCAUUACUUGUCUUGAUCACUGAUUUUACAGCUGGACAGAUGAUAUGCUUUCUUCACAAGAGCAGCCAUUGAGCAUCUCUGAGGCGUAAGUGUAUAUUCAUAACAAAUAUAGCAGAAUGUAUUGCGGCUGUUAAGACAUUGAUGAGACAUAUCGACCGACACUAAUCAUACUGCAAAUGUCUAUAGCAUCUACCUUACUUGUUACAUUGACGCUGGGGCAGUGCAAUGUUCUGAAACAAUACAUACACACUAUCAGGUCUAUAUUAACCCAAAGAGGACUUCUAUAGCCUGCUGAGGCAGUGCAAUGUUCUGAAACAAUACAUACACACUAUCAGGUCUAUAUUAACCCAAAGAGGACUUCUAUAGCCUGCUGAGGCAGUGCAAUGUUCUGAAACAAUACAUCCACACUAUCAGGUCUAUAUUAACCCAAAGAGGACUUCUAUAGCCUGCUGAGGCAGUGCAAUGUUCUGAAACAAUACAUCCACACUAUCAGGUCUAUAUUAACCCAAAGAGGACUUCUAUAGCCUGCUGAGGCAGUGCAAUGUUCUGAAACAAUACAUACACACUAUCAGGUCUAUAUUAACCCAAAGAGGACUUCUAUAGCCUGCUGAGGCAGUGCAAUGUUCUGAAACAAUACAUACACACUAUCAGGUCUAUAUUAACCCAAAGAGGACUUCUAUAGCCUGCUGAGGCAGUGCAAUGUUCUGAAACAAUACAUCCACACUAUCAGGUCUAUAUUAACCCAAAGAGGACUUCUAUAGCCUGCUGAGGCAGUGCAAUGUUCUGAAACAAUACAUCCACACUAUCAGGUCUAUAUUAACCCAAAGAGGACUUCUAUAGCCUGCUGAGGCAGUGCAAUGUUCUGAAACAAUACAUACACACUAUCAGGUCUAUAUUAACCCAAAGAGGACUUCUAUAGCCUGCUGAGGCAGUGCAAUGUUCUGAAACAAUACAUACACACUAUCAGGUCUAUAUUAACCCAAAGGGGACGUCUAUAGCCUGCUGAUGCAGUGUCCAGCUGGCUCCGGCCUACCCAGGCAUGUCUGGGCUGCAAACUUCCACAGAACAGCUUCCAAC